GCAAACUUGGUCAUUUAGAGGAAGUAAAAGUCGUAACAAGGUUUCCGUAGGUGAACCUGCGGAAGGAUCAUUAUUGAAUAAAACCUGGUUGGGUUGUUGCUGGCUUCCAAGAAGCAUGUGCACGCCUAAUCCGUUUUUUUAACCACCUGUGCACCUUUUGUAGACUCUGCUCGGUUUGAGGGAAUUGCUGUUGUCUGGAAGCCUCAGCUUUUCUCGAGAUCGUUCGGGUCUAUGUCACAUAUUACACCCCACAAUGUAUUAGAAUGUUAUGAAUAGGCCAGUGUGCCUUUAAAACACAAUACAACUUUCAACAACGGAUCUCUUGGCUCUCGCAUCGAUGAAGAACGCAGC
This 351-nucleotide unclassified non-coding RNA is filed under the name uncultured fungus. RNAcentral describes it as "partial contains small subunit ribosomal RNA, internal transcribed spacer 1, and 5.8S ribosomal RNA". The stretch from base 1 to 73 matches the Rfam family "Eukaryotic small subunit ribosomal RNA", at positions 1759 to 1831 of the family's 1831-position model. Lineage: Eukaryota; Fungi. The record is from RNAcentral.